Molecule: ribosomal RNA, 347 nt
Filed under: Clostridioides difficile
Lineage: Bacteria; Bacillati; Bacillota; Clostridia; Peptostreptococcales; Peptostreptococcaceae
Description: bacterial LSU rRNA
Rfam family: Bacterial large subunit ribosomal RNA
Source: RNAcentral
UCCCCGAAAUAGCUUUAGGGCUAGCCUCAAGGUGAGAGAUACGGAGGUAGAGCACUGAAUGUCCUAGGGGGUAUUGCACCUACCGAAGACUAUCAAACUCCGAAUGCCGUCAUCUUAUACUUGGGAGGCAGACUGUGGGUGAUAAGAUUCAUAGUCGAAAGGGCAACAGCCCAGAUCGUCAGCUAAGGUCCCUAAAUGUAAGUUAAGUGGUAAAGGAUGGGGGAUUGCACAGACAACCAGGAUGUUGGCUUAGAAGCAGCCACUCAUUCAAAGAGUGCGUAAUAGCUCACUGGUCGAGUGAUCCUGCGCCGAAGAUUUCCGGGGCUAAAACUUACUACCGAAGCUAC